This 497-nucleotide ribosomal RNA is filed under the name uncultured bacterium. RNAcentral describes it as "partial 16S ribosomal RNA". It matches the Rfam family "Bacterial small subunit ribosomal RNA", at positions 28 to 507 of the family's 1533-position model. The record is from RNAcentral.
GAUGAACGCUGGCGGCGUGCCUAAUACAUGCAAGUCGAGCGAACAGACGAGGAGCUUGCUCCUCUGACGUUAGCGGCGGACGGGUGAGUAACACGUGGAUAACCUACCUAUAAGACUGGGAUAACUUCGGGAAACCGGAGCUAAUACCGGAUAAUAUAUUGAACCGCAUGGUUCAAUAGUGAAAGACGGUUUUGCUGUCACUUAUAGAUGGAUCCGCGCCGCAUUAGCUAGUUGGUAAGGUAACGGCUUACCAAGGCGACGAUGCGUAGCCGACCUGAGAGGGUGAUCGGCCACACGGGAACUGAGACACGGUCCAGACUCCUACGGGAGGAAGCAGUAGGGAAUCUUCCGCAAGGGGCGAAAGCCUGACGGAGCAACGCCGCGUGAGUGAUGAAGGUCUUCGGAUCGUAAAACGCUGUUAUUAGGGAAGAACAAAUGUGUAAGUAACUAUGCACGUCUUGACGGUACCUAAUCAGAAAGCCACGGCUAACUACGUG